This 305-nucleotide ribosomal RNA is filed under the name uncultured bacterium. RNAcentral's name for it is "partial 16S ribosomal RNA". It matches the Rfam family "Bacterial small subunit ribosomal RNA", at positions 505 to 807 of the family's 1533-position model. The record is from RNAcentral.
ACAGCAGUCGCCACGGUAAUACGUAGGUGGCAAGCGUUGUCCGGAAUUAUUGGGCGUAAAGGGCUCGCAGGCGGUUUCUUAAGUCUGAUGUGAAAGCCCCCGGCUCAACCGGGGAGGGUCAUUGGAAACUGGGAAACUUGAGUGCAGAAGAGGAGAGCGGAAUUCCACGUGUAACGGUGAAAUGCGUAGAGAUGUGGAGGAACACCAGUGGCGAAGGCGGCUCUCUGGACUGUAACUGACGCUGAGGCGCGAAAGCGUGGGGAGCAAACAGGAUUAGAUACCCCGGUAGUCCCUGUCUCUUAUAC